Bactrocera latifrons is the source of this 2034-nucleotide long non-coding RNA. RefSeq lists it as uncharacterized. The transcript has 4 exons. The record is from RefSeq and is a predicted model, not a curated record. NCBI's taxonomy places the organism in Eukaryota, Metazoa, Arthropoda, Insecta, Diptera, Tephritidae.
GGAGAAUUGAGUGAAUAACAAUAUGGCUUCCGAUUGGACGAUCUAUGUUAAUACUAAAGCAAUGAUGAACACGUAAAAAAAUUCACUUUUUUUUGUAUAACACCUGAAGAGACCUGAGGUUGGAUUAAGUUCAAAUAUUUUUGAUCACCUUGGAUGUAGAUACACCAGUCGCAACCCCGUGGAAUUUUUAGGGGUAUGCGGCCUUUGUAACGGCAGCAAGUUGCUCAGGCCCACGGGCAUUGCCUCAACUGCCUGUCGCACACUCAUGAGUGUGAGUCACGGGGGCUGUGCCAAAUGUAUCACCGGCCACCUCAUACGCUGCUACAUCGCAGCGCGUCACGCGAAGCGCACCGGCCAUCCAACCAUCGCAGCGGCGUCUCCCGACUUCCACCCGCCGAUAGUGUCAUACACCAGAGGAGUGUAACCUCGUUGCGGCGUCGACAGACUGGACCAUCCCCUCGUCGAUCCACGGGUCUGAGCAGCGUUGUGGCAACGCUGCAACAGCUGCAGCGCCUUUUAGGCUAAACAGUCGUUUAGGGGGGGCGGGAUGGCUAAAUGAGCACCUCACCUCUCUCUUAAUAUAAUACUCCUACACCAUCCAUAUCAUCCACACAUCUACACCAUAUUCAUCAUCCACACCUUACACCCGACACACCGACAUCAUCUACACUACACACGAGACGGACGGCGCCGACCUCUCUUUGGUUUUUGUCGGUCCGUGCGCUCAUACGUAGUCAUCAUCUUCAACCUUAAUUUUUUCGAAAUCGUCACAAGUUUGAAUCGUAUCUUGGUAAAUUUCAAAAACAAUGGCUGAUUUGUGUUUUCAAUGUAAUAAGUCAGAUUCGGGAGGUGAAUCGCUUAUUGAAGUAGUGCGCRGUAUGAAAUUUCUGCGAACUGCAAGUGUCGAACGAAACGACGGAAAAUUUGAUUAUUUAAAAUCAGUAACCUCUGUUAAAGUGCAUGAAAAGUGCCGAAGUGUUUACAUUAGUAAAAACUAUACCCAGCAGCAAAMCGGAAACAAGAAGAAGGAGAAACUAUAACUUCUCCAUUAGUACUCCGUACAAAACGAGGUGAAGUGUUUGAUUUUAAGAAUCAAUGUUUAUUUUGUGGCGAAGUUGCUGAUGUGGCUGCAGACAAAAGGAAAAGAGAAAAAUACAGGCGGAUAAAAUGUGAGUACUCUUGAGUUCAAAGAUACUGUUAUCAAAAAAGCAGAAGAACGUGGGGUUGAUUUCGGAGAAUUGGUGAAAAGUCGUAUAAUUUUACAGUAUGAUUUGAUCGCUGCUGAAGCGAAGUACCUUGCUGCUUGCUUUACAAACUUUUCAAAUAAAUCAUCAUCAUCAUCGCCUCUUGAGAAGCCUCUUCAAGAUAAUCAUGAUACACAAGCUAUGUUAGAGAUUUUCAAUUACAUCGAAAAUAAUGAUGGUUCUCAAUUCACACUAAAAGAACUUAAAGACGUUUUGACAGGGUAUAUGAAAGAUGAUAAAACCAUCAUUUCAAGACUACAUCGGUUAAGUACCGAUAUCGUAAUUACGAAGAAAGUUGGAGCUUUCAAAAUCAUUUCUUUCCGUGAUGCACAAGCUAAUAUUCUAUCAAAAGCUUGGUAGGAAAGUAAAAAAAUGGAUCCUGAAGCAGAAUGGCUAAGAAUUGUAGAAGCUGCAGCAGCAAUUAUUAAAGAAGAUAUCCGAACAUCUAUAGUUGAAACUAAAUCUUAUCCACCUCCUAGUAAAAUGUUGGAUAAAGUUAAUCAAGAAAUUCCAAAAACUUUAUUACAUUUCUUAGAAGAAGUCAUCGUCAAAAACUGGAAAGGACAAAUUGAUCAUUUAAAAACAAAAUGUAUGGCUGCAAUACGGGAAUGUUCUCAGUGCUCUACCAUAUCAGAGCGACAUUAACGAAGAUGGAACUUUCGACCCCGAAAUCAUGAAAGAACUUGAGGCAAAUGUCGUUGAAGACGAUAAUGAAGACCAGUUUGAAAUUUACCAGCAGCCGGAAGACGACGAUGAAGAGGAAGAAGACGAUUAAAAUUAUAAAUUGUAG